UGGCCACAUCAUGUUGAAACACUGGUUCCUGUAAGAUCACUGAAUUUAAGCAACAUUGAGCCUGGUCAGUACCUAGAUAGAUGACUGCUUGGGAAUACUUGGUGCUGUAA
This is a non-coding RNA of Acanthosepion pharaonis, 110 nucleotides long. Lineage: Eukaryota; Metazoa; Mollusca; Cephalopoda; Sepiida; Sepiidae. The record is from the annotation of a GenBank genome assembly.